Molecule: long non-coding RNA, 1028 nt
Organism: Hyla sarda
Lineage: Eukaryota; Metazoa; Chordata; Amphibia; Anura; Hylidae
Exons: 3
Source: RefSeq, a predicted model, not a curated record
AUACUAGUUCAUUUAUGGUCUCUGUCAUCUACUAAGCAUUUCAGGAAUCACGGAACUCUGGUUUUCGCUGUCUGGCGCUUCUGGGUUUGGUGACAUGAUGUCACACGGCUGCUCAACCAGUCCUUGGCUGAGUGAAACUACGGGCAGCAUGAAACAGAAGCAUAGAAGACUAUGAUUUAGUCUGAAAGGUUCGGACAUGAAGCAGAUGACAGGUUGCUGAAUAUCACCGUGAUUGGUGAAGUCCGGCAUUAGCCACAGCUCUUGAGCCCGUGUCUUAAAAGGGGAGCAGAACAAUGGUGUACAGGUACGCCCUUCAUCCUUAAAGGGAAUGUCACCUUUUUUAUAUAUUACUUAAAUUGUAAUAUAACAUAAGUUAAGAUCAUUUGGGAAUUACAUAUAUGUGUAAAGUAUUUUAAAUUUUAUUCAUGUAUUUAGUGUGUACUGGGGGCUGCCAUUACUUAGAGCACCUGUGAUUAUGUCACUUAACGACACCUUCACAGAUGCUUUACGGCAGUCCCUGCACAUAGGAAAGUCCAGUCGCAGCGCGUCUGAUAGGACAACAUUACAGACUAAAAUGCUGUGUUCUGCACAUGUCUGUCAUGUGCAGAACGCAGCAGGUGUCCGACACAAGAGGAAGCCGAGGGAGCAGAGCCAUGUUAUUAAAGUCCGGAAACAGCAGCUUCUGGAACUCCUGGCACUCUCCCUCGCUUGCUCCUGUGGUCACUGGGCUGUCACUUCCCUGCGGCUUCGAGCUAUCAUCCACGGGUUUGGACAGCCAGUGACCACCUUCCCACCAUGUCUUUGUUCCCUCCUUGUCCUCCUUCACACCUCCCGGAGCUUACACUUUCGCUAUCCAGAUCUCCCCUGCGUCUCCCAUUGUAUUUACAGCUUCUGCAGCACAGGCAAUAAGUGAUUCAGCCGGACGCCCGUGUUUGUAACUGCAAAAACUACAACUUCCAGCAUGCCUAGACAGCAAAAGGAUGUCUGGGCAUGCUGGGAGUUGUAGUUUUGCGACAUCCUGGUUUGAA